UGAGAAGCACAAUCCCUUGCAGGGGUC
This 27-nucleotide non-coding RNA is filed under the name Mus musculus (house mouse). Lineage: Eukaryota; Metazoa; Chordata; Mammalia; Rodentia; Muridae. The record is from RNAcentral.